CGCUAGCUACAGGCUUAACACAUGCAAGUCGAGGGGUAGCAUGGUCUUAGCUUGCUAAGGCCGAUGGCGACCGGCGCACGGGUGAGUAACACGUAUCCAACCUGCCGUCUACUCUUGGACAGCCUUCUGAAAGGAAGAUUAAUACAAGAUGGCAUCAUGAGUCCGCAUGUUCACAUGAUUAAAGGUAUUCCGGUAGACGAUGGGGAUGCGUUCCAUUAGAUAGUAGGCGGGGUAACGGCCCACCUAGUCUUCGAUGGAUAGGGGUUCUGAGAGGAAGGUCCCCCACAUUGGAACUGAGACACGGUCCAAACUCCUACGGGAGGCAGCAGUGAGGAAUAUUGGUCAAUGGGCGAGAGCCUGAACCAGCCAAGUAGCGUGAAGGAUGACUGCCCUAUGGGUUGUAAACUUCUUUUAUAAAGGAAUAAAGUCGGGUAUGGAUACCCGUUUGCAUGUACUUUAUGAAUAAGGAUCGGCUAACUCCGUGCCAGCAGCCGCGGUAAUACGGAGGAUCCGAGCGUUAUCCGGAUUUAUUGGGUUUAAAGGGAGCGUAGAUGGAUAUUUAAGUCAGUUGUGAAAGUUUGCGGCCCAACCGUAAAAUUGCAGUUGAUACUGGAUAUCUUGAGUGCAGUUGAGGCAGGCGGAAUUCGUGGUGUAGCGGUGAAAUGCUUAGAUAUCACGAAGAACUCCGAUUGCGAAGGCAGCCUGCUAAGCUGCAACUGACAUUGAGGCUCGAAAGUGUGGGUAUCAAACAGGAUUAGAUACCCUGGUAGUCCACACGGUAAACGAUGAAUACUCGCUGUUUGCGAUAUACUGCAAGCGGCCAAGCGAAAGCGUUAAGUAUUCCACCUGGGGAGUACGCCGGCAACGGUGAAACUCAAAGGAAUUGACGGGGGCCCGCACAAGCGGAGGAACAUGUGGUUUAAUUCGAUGAUACGCGAGGAACCUUACCCGGGCUUAAAUUGCAGAUGAAUUACGGUGAAAGCCGUAAGCCGCAAGGCAUCUGUGAAGGUGCUGCAUGGUUGUCGUCAGCUCGUGCCGUGAGGUGUCGGCUUAAGUGCCAUAACGAGCGCAACCCUUGUUGUCAGUUACUAACAGGUUCCGCUGAGGACUCUGACAAGACUGCCAUCGUAAGAUGUGAGGAAGGUGGGGAUGACGUCAAAUCAGCACGGCCCUUACGUCCGGGGCUACACACGUGUUACAAUGGGGGGUACAGAGGGCCGCUACCACGCGAGUGGAUGCCAAUCCCAAAAACCUCUCUCAGUUCGGACUGGAGUCUGCAACCCGACUCCACGAAGCUGGAUUCGCUAGUAAUCGCGCAUCAGCCACGGCGCGGUGAAUACGUUCCCGGGCCUUGUACACACCGCCCGUCAAGCCAUGGGAGCCGGGGGUACCUGAAGUGCGUAACCGCGAGGAGCGCCCUAGGGUAAAACUGGA
Molecule: ribosomal RNA, 1434 nt
Filed under: uncultured organism
Description: SSU rRNA
Rfam family: Bacterial small subunit ribosomal RNA
Source: RNAcentral